Molecule: long non-coding RNA, 281 nt
Organism: Labeo rohita (rohu)
Lineage: Eukaryota; Metazoa; Chordata; Actinopteri; Cypriniformes; Cyprinidae
Exons: 3
Source: RefSeq, a predicted model, not a curated record
AAAGACUUUAUUUCCUGUUUCAAAAGAGUAAUGAUGUCUCUUCUGGUCUCACAGCCUGGGCAAUUUGGACUCUGUACUUGGUCCAACUUACGGCGACGACGGAAGAAGCCACACUGAAAAUGAGAUCACAGAGUUCCUGCAAGAAAUACAAUAUGAGAGAAGAGAAGAAGUAUUUCUUUUACCUUAAUGAGAACGAUAAUGAUGAUGAAAAGGAGCAGAAAUCCUCCUAUGGAUCCUCCAAUGAUGGGACCUGUAGAUGUCGUCACUUGCAGCUUUGAAAU